ACGUGCCAGCAGCCGCGGUAAUACGAGGGUGCGAGCGUUAAUCGGAAUUACUGGGCGUAAAGCGUGCGCAGGCGGUUCUCCAAGUCCGUUGUGAAAGCCCCGGGCUCAACUGGGAAUGGCAGUGGAAACUAGGGGACUUGAAUCUGGCAGAGGGGGGUGGAAUUCCACGUGUAGCAGUGAAAUGCGUAGAGAUGUGGAGGAACACCGAUGGCGAAGGCAGCCCCCUGGGCUGAGAUUGACGCUCAGGCACGAAAGCGUGGGGAGCAAACAGGAUUAGAUACCCUGGUCCACGCAACGAUGUCAACUAGGUGUUGGGGAAGCGAUUUCUCAGUACCGCAGCUAACGCGUGAAGUUGACCGCCUGGGGAGUACGGUCGCAAGAUUAAAACUCAAAGGAAUUGACGGGGACCCGCACAAGCGGUGGAUGAUGUGGAUUAAUUCGAUGCAACGCGAAUCUUACCUACCCUUGACAUGUACGGACUCCAGAGAUGGGGGUGUGCCCGGAAGGGAUCCGUAAC
RNAcentral lists this ribosomal RNA (517 nucleotides) under uncultured beta proteobacterium. RNAcentral's name for it is "bacterial SSU rRNA". It matches the Rfam family "Bacterial small subunit ribosomal RNA", at positions 503 to 1033 of the family's 1533-position model. The record is from RNAcentral. Lineage: Bacteria; Pseudomonadati; Pseudomonadota; Betaproteobacteria.